CGAACAGGUGCGCGCUUUGGUUCCGGCCCGCAAGGCCGGAUGAAAAGGGAACCCGGCGGGCCGCCUGCGGCCAAUCCGGGGCUGCCCCCGCAACUGUGGGCGGAGAGCGACGGCCGACGACGCCACUGGGAUCCGUCCCGGGAAGGCCGGCCCGAGCGAUGAUCCGCAAGCCAGGAGACCUGCCAGGGCGAUCACCCAUUC
This 201-nucleotide non-coding RNA is filed under the name Paracoccus yeei. Lineage: Bacteria; Pseudomonadati; Pseudomonadota; Alphaproteobacteria; Rhodobacterales; Paracoccaceae. The record is from RNAcentral.